CUCUGCCUGCUAUUUAUGCCACACACUCAAGACACCAAUUGUCAAGAAUUUCCCUGCAAACUGUCAUAUGUUAGUGAAUGUGUUUGGAGGAAGCAGCCGCGGCGGCGGAGGGCGAGCAGCGCGGAGGGGAGAGACGCCACUUGUGAGCUGCUGAGCAAAUUGUCUUCUGGGCAUGAGGGGGGCAUGGAGGAGGAAUCUGAGCAGGCUCAGUUUAAGAGACACAAUGUCACCACGGCAGUGUGUGAGGGGGGCCACGGCGAGAGGAAGGAGAGGACUCUGGGAUAAAUACUGAACGGAGCAGUUGGCGGUGAGGGCUGCAGCCGGGGCCGGAGAGGCUGCCGGGGAGACGCAACCGUGACUCCGGUAAUACAGAAAGAAAUAUCACCCCCGACUGGAGCUUUGAUCAACUGAGUGUACCGGGGAGGAGGAGGAGGAGGAGGAGGAA
Long non-coding RNA from Dicentrarchus labrax (European seabass), 445 nucleotides. RefSeq lists it as uncharacterized. NCBI's taxonomy places the organism in Eukaryota, Metazoa, Chordata, Actinopteri, Moronidae. The transcript has 3 exons. The record is from RefSeq and is a predicted model, not a curated record.